CCUCGGGGCGCACCAGUGAGGAAUAUUGCACAAUGGGGGGAACCCUGAUGCAGCAACGCCGCGUGGAGGAUGACGCAUUUCGGUGUGUAAACUCCUUUUAUAUGUCAAGAAAAUGACGGUAGCAUAUGAAUAAGCACCGGCUAACUCCGUGCCAGCAGCCGCGGUAAUACGGAGGGUGCAAGCGUUACUCGGAAUCACUGGGCGUAAAGGACGCGUAGGCGGGUUGGAAAGUCAGGUGUGAAAUCCUACAGCUUAACUGUAGAACUGCACUUGAAACUUCUAAUCUAGAGUAUGGGAGGGGGAGAUGGAAUUAGUGGUGUAGGGGUAAAAUCCGUAGAUAUCACUAGGAAUACCUAAAGCGAAGGCGAUCUCCUGGAACAUUACUGACGCUAAGGCGUGAAAGCGUGGGGAGCAAACAGGAUUAGAUACCCGAGUAGUC
Molecule: ribosomal RNA, 439 nt
Filed under: uncultured bacterium
Lineage: Bacteria
Description: partial 16S ribosomal RNA
Rfam family: Bacterial small subunit ribosomal RNA
Source: RNAcentral